AGCAGCUGAAGGUCCCACGUGCUCCUCAAAAGAAAUUAACUCAUCUCCAGAUAAUCAUCAGAGUCCAACUAAGCGGCUAAUAGAACAGAACAGGACGUGAAAGCAAACAGCCCUUCAAACCCACAGGCCUGUACAUCAAAGGAGUGGUCAACGCCUGAGCACCGUCAGCAGAGCAGCUGCUUUGCCUCUGGGAACAUGCGGGAGAUAGGAGGCUUCCUCCUUAACCCUACUGCAGAGGACUUCUCCUCUUUUACCAGCAGCCUCCUGCAGUACCCUCCCGGGUAAUGGAGCAGGGGUCGCUUCCCUUCCCAUGAGACCUUUGUUCAGGCACUCAAGUGGAAGGUUGAGCAAUAAGCCAACUUUCUUGCUCAGAGGCUCCGCAGACUUCCUGUGGUUGUUUGUUCCACUCUGUGGUCAGUCAAGCAAGCUCACCGCCUGAUUCUCUUAUUGUUGUACUAAGCACAAGCUAUUAUACUUAUGAUUCAUAAUCAUAUUAGUAAAGCACUAUUCUAAAGCA
This 517-nucleotide long non-coding RNA is filed under the name Homo sapiens (human). RNAcentral describes it as "non-protein coding lnc-ALOX12B-2:1". Lineage: Eukaryota; Metazoa; Chordata; Mammalia; Primates; Hominidae. The record is from RNAcentral.